RNAcentral lists this unclassified non-coding RNA (200 nucleotides) under soil metagenome. Its description in RNAcentral is "partial contains internal transcribed spacer 2 and large subunit ribosomal RNA". The record is from RNAcentral.
GUUCGAGCGUCAUUACAGCCCUCAAGCUUUGCUUGGUAUUGGAUUCAAUCACUAUGAUUCAUCCUAAAAUCAGUGGCGGUGCCAUUCGGCUUCCAGCGUAGUAAUUCUCUCGCUGUAGGAGACCAGGUGCGUGCUUGCCAGUAACUCUUAAAUUUAAUAAGGUUGACCUCGGAUCAGGUAGGGAUACCCGCUGAACUUAA